CCUACGGGGGGCUGCAGUAACGAAUCUUCCGCAAUGCACGAAAGUGUGACGGAGCGACGCCGCGUGGAGGACGAAGUCCUUCGGGAUGUAAACUCCUGUCAGGGGUUACCAAGUUCUGAGGAACCCCAGAGGAAGGCACGGCUAACUCUGUGCCAGCAGCCGCGGUAAGACAGAGGUGCCGAGCGUUAGGCGGAAUCACUGGGCUUAAAGCGCGUGUAGGUGGCGGCCUAAGUACCUUGUGAAAUCCUGCGGCUCAACCGCAGAACUGCUUGGUA
This 275-nucleotide ribosomal RNA is filed under the name uncultured bacterium. RNAcentral describes it as "partial 16S ribosomal RNA". It matches the Rfam family "Bacterial small subunit ribosomal RNA", at positions 338 to 630 of the family's 1533-position model. The record is from RNAcentral.